AUAUAAUAAUCUUUUCAACGCUGGUUUAAGACGUAAAGAUGAGCCACUAGCUAGAUAUGUAAACAUGAUAUCGAUCAUACAUAGAUGAUGUUGGUCAUAAUAAUUAAAAUUUUGAUUGAGUCGCUAGAGGACUAUUUUAUUGAGACUGCGUCCCAAGCGGGUGGAUACAGGGAACGACAAUAUUAGUGCCCCAAACAAAAACUAGCUUCACUAGAGAUUCAGGAAUAAACACAACAACAUAUUUUCGUAUCGCCUGGUCCAGUCCUGCAGUAGGCCCCGAGCCAGCGGUUGCCACUGUGUCCGCAUAAGUUUUUGCAGACAUUUGAAUUGUAGACUUGAAUAGGCAAGCACUCUUCAUGAAGAUCAACUAAACAUUGAGGAAAUGUAAUGAUAUUAAUUACAAAUGUUUGGUAAGGUCUAUUUUAGCAAAAAUAAUGAAUUCGGUAAGAAAACAAUGAUUAAAGGAUGUUUGGAGAUACGCACGUUCAUAGCAAGAGGUUGGUAAGAUCAAAGUGCAAAACAUGAUCAUAACAAUAAUGUUGGGGAACGUUGCAGAAAACAAAAUUUUCCUACGGUUUCACCAAGAUCCAUCUAGGAGUUCAUCUAGCAACGAGUGAUCGGAUUGCAUCUACAUACCUUUGUAGAUCACGCACGGAAGCGUUCAAAGAACGGGGAUGAGGAAGGCGUACUCGACGUGAUCCAAAUCACCGGAGAUCCUAGCGCCGAACGGACGGCACCUCCGCGUUCAACACACGUACGGUCAGCGUAACGUCUCCUUCUUCUUGAUCCAGCAAGGGGGAAGGAGAGGUUGAGGAAGAUGGCUCCAACAGCAGCACGACGGCGUGGUGGUGGUGGAGCUGCAGUACUCCGGCAGGGCUUCGCCAAGCACUAUGGAGGAGGAGGAUGUGUUGGAGAGGGAGAGGGAGGCACCAAAGGCGUGGAUUGAGAGGCCCUCCUUCCCCCACUAUAUAUAGGGAGCCUAGGGGGGGGCGGCCCUAGGAGAUCCAAUCUCCUAGGGGGGGCGGCGGCCAAGGGAGGAAUCCCUCCUCCCCAAGGCACCUAGGAGGCGCCUUCCCCUUUUGGGACUCUUCCCUUCCUUAUCUCUUGGCGCAUGGACCUCUUGGGGCUGGUGCCCUUGGCCCAUAUAGGCCAAGGCGCACCCCCUACAGCCCAUGUGGCCCCCCGGGGCAGGUGGCCCCACCCGGUGGACCCCCGGGACCCUUCCGGUGGUCCCGGUACAAUACCGGUGACCCCGAAACUUGUCCCGAUGGCCGAAAUAGCACUUCCUAUAUAUAAUUCUUUACCUCUGGACCAUUCCGGAACUCCUCGUGACGUCCGGGAUCUCAUCUGGGACUCCGAACAACAUUCGGGUUACUGCAUAUACAUAUCCCUACAACCCUAGCGUCACCGAACCUUAAGUGUGUAGACCCUAUGGGUUCAGAAGACAUGUAGACAUGACCGAGAUCGCUCUCCGGUCAAUAACCAACAGCGGGAUCUGGAUACCCAUGUUGGCUCCCACAUGCUCCUCGAUGAUCUCAUCGGAUGAACCACGAUGUCGAGGACUCAAGCAACCCCGUAUACAAUUCCCUUUGUCAAUCGGUAUGUUACUUGCCCGAGAUCCGAUCGUCGGUAUCCCAAUACCUCGUUCAAUCUCGUUACCGGCAAGUCACUUUACUCGUACCGUAAUGCAUGAUCCAUGACCAGACACUUGGUCACUUUGAGCUUAUUAUGAUGAUGCAUUACCGAGUGGGCCCAGUGAUACCUCUCCGUCAUACGGAGUGACAAAUCCCAGUCUUGAUCCGUGUCAACCCAACAGACACUUUCGGAGAUACCCGUAGUAUACCUUUAUAGUCACCCAGUUACGUUGUGACGUUUGGUACACCCAAAGCACUCCUACGGUAUCCGGGAGUUACACGAUCUCAUGGUCUAAGGAAAAGAUACUUGACAUUGGAAAACUCUAGCAAAGAAACUAUACGAUCUUAUGCUAUGUUUAGGAUUGGGUCUUGUCCAUCACAUCAUUCUCCUAAUGAUGUGAUCCCGUUAUCAAUGACAUCCAAUGUCCAUAGUCAGGAAACCAUGACUAUCUGUUGAUCAACGAGCUAGUCAACUAGAGGCUUACUAGCGACAUGUUGGUGUCUAUUAUUCACACAUGUAUUACGAUUUCCGGAUAACACAAUUAUAGCAUGAAUAAAAGACAAUUAUCAUGAACAAGGAAAUAUAAUAAUAAUGCUUUUAUUAUUGCCUCUAGGGCAUAUUUCCAACAAAUAAUGCAGAUUGAAAAACCCAUGGCAUGUG
This 2295-nucleotide long non-coding RNA is filed under the name Triticum aestivum (bread wheat). Its description in RNAcentral is "long non-coding RNA (TAES_LNC019231)". The record is from RNAcentral. Lineage: Eukaryota; Viridiplantae; Streptophyta; Magnoliopsida; Poales; Poaceae.